GUGCCAGCCGCCGCGGUAAUACGUAGGGGCCGAGCGUUGUCCGGAGUUACUGGGCGUAAAGCGCGCGCAGGCGGCUCGUCAAGCCUGACGUGAAAGCCCCCGGCUCAACCGGGGAGGGUCGUCGGGGACUGGCGAGCUUGAGGUCGGCAGGGGCUGGUGGAAUUCCCGGUGUAGUGGUACAGUGCGUAGCGAUCGGGAGGCACACCCGGGGCGAAGGCGGCCAGCUGGGCCGGACCUGACGC
This 242-nucleotide ribosomal RNA is filed under the name uncultured bacterium. RNAcentral's name for it is "partial 16S rRNA". It matches the Rfam family "Bacterial small subunit ribosomal RNA", at positions 505 to 746 of the family's 1533-position model. The record is from RNAcentral.